UACGUAGGGUGCGAGCGUUAAUCGGAAUUACUGGGCGUAAAGCGUGCGCAGGCGGUUUUGUAAGCCAGAUGUGAAAUCCCCGGGCUUAACCUGGGAACUGCGUUUGAAACUGAAAGGCUAGAGUGUGGCAGAGGGGGGUGGAAUUCCACGUGUAGCAGUGAAAUGCGUAGAGAUGUGGAGGAACACCGAUGGCGAAGGCAGCCCCCUGGGCUAACACUGACGCUCAUGCACGAAAGCGUGGGGGGCAAACAGG
Molecule: ribosomal RNA, 253 nt
Filed under: uncultured bacterium
Lineage: Bacteria
Description: partial 16S ribosomal RNA
Rfam family: Bacterial small subunit ribosomal RNA
Source: RNAcentral